This 253-nucleotide ribosomal RNA is filed under the name uncultured bacterium. RNAcentral's name for it is "partial 16S ribosomal RNA". It matches the Rfam family "Bacterial small subunit ribosomal RNA", at positions 524 to 776 of the family's 1533-position model. The record is from RNAcentral.
UACAGAGGGGGCAAGCGUUGUUCGGAAUUACUGGGCGUAAAGCGCACGUAGGCGGCUUUGUAAGUUAGAGGUGAAAGCCCGGGGCUCAACUCCGGAACUGCCUUUAAGACUGCAUCGCUUGAAUCCGGGAGAGGUGAGUGGAAUUCCGAGUGUAGAGGUGAAAUUCGUAGAUAUUCGGAAGAACACCAGUGGCGAAGGCGGCUCACUGGACCGGUAUUGACGCUGAGGUGCGAAAGCGUGGGGAGCAAACAGG